This is a long non-coding RNA of Oncorhynchus tshawytscha (Chinook salmon), 734 nucleotides long. Lineage: Eukaryota; Metazoa; Chordata; Actinopteri; Salmoniformes; Salmonidae. The record is from Ensembl.
CCCGUCUAUUGGUUGCCGGAGUUGUCACAAGUGAACACAGGUGACCUGGGACGCGCCAAGCCCCGCUGACAACAUCACAGCCAGCGGAAAUAAAAAUAAUUAGCAGCUGGAGUGCCAGUGGAGUGUAUCAUCCAGUUUUCUGAAAUUAUUAAUGACACAUAAUGCCUUUUUUUUGUUGCGUAGUUUGUGUUUGAGGAUACGAGCGAUUCCACUGACCGCAUUGGAGCGCACUGGUGGAAGACCCACGUAGUUUCCAGAACCUGCACUCCCAACUUCGUAUCAUCUGACCUUCAGAGCGUUUUCCAGUCCUCUCCAGGGUGUCCAGAGAUGUAGGGAGCAGUGGGAGGAGCACCCCCCCCCCCCUUCUCACUCUCUCAGCACCACUUUACUUACAAAGAGGUCCCACAUCUAGCCAGACUCUCUGGCAGUGUAUGUGCAAAUUUCCAAACGGAUAUCUUGAGGUAACCAUGGUUGACAGAGGAAGAACAAUGAUUCCAAGCACCACCCUCCUUUUUAAGCUUCCAGUCUGUUAUUCGAACUCAAUCAGCAUGACAGAGUGAACUCCAGCCUUGUCCUCGUCAACACUCACACUUGUGUUAACGAGAGAAUCACUGACAUGUCAGCUGGUCCUUUUGUGGCACGGCUGUAAUGCAGUGGACAUGUUUUUGGGGGAUUCAGUUAAUUUGCAUGGCAAAGAGGGACUUUACAAUGAAUUGCAAUUCAUCUGAUCACUC